AGCGCAGGCGGGUGGCGAAGUACGAUUGGUGAAAUCCUGAGGCUUAACCUCAGGACUGCCAAUGAUACUGCCGAUCUUGAGUGCAGAAGAGGAAGACGGAAUUCCUGGUGUAGCGGUGAAAUGCGUAGAUAUCAGGAAGAACACCGGUGGCGAAGGCGGUCUUCUGGUCUGUAACUGACGCUCAUGCUCGAAAGCGUGGGGAGCAAACAGGAUUAGAUACCCUGGUAGUCCACGCCCUAAACGAUGGAUACUCGAUGUCGGGUCGCAAGGCCCGGUGUCCAAGCUAACGCGUUAAGUAUCCCACCUGGGGAGUACGAUCGCAAGGUUGAA
RNAcentral lists this ribosomal RNA (330 nucleotides) under uncultured bacterium. RNAcentral's name for it is "bacterial SSU rRNA". It matches the Rfam family "Bacterial small subunit ribosomal RNA", at positions 568 to 898 of the family's 1533-position model. The record is from RNAcentral.